UAUAAAUAACUUAAUGGUGACAGUACCAUUUGACAGCUGUCAAUGAGAUUUGGUAAACUGGGUUAACUGUCAGAGAUAUACAAGAACAUGAAGGGAAAAAUAAGUGCACAGGGACAUGCAAGAAGCAUUGUACUCCAUGUAUAACCCUAAGCAAUUCUUUCCUUAUAUGAAUAAAAACGAUAUUGAACGGAAGUUCAGUGCAGGCUGAAGUUAGCCACACAUUUAGUGCACUCCAACAGGUGUCGGGAACCGAACCUACCAGAGCACCUGAUGAAGUACAAUAGGCAUGUGACAGUUUGCGAAUCUGACAGAAAACUGCAAUGAACUUUCAAAAUGGUGGCCAGACGGUGGAAAAUUCCCGUUAAGACAGAGGGCGUUCGCGGACACUAUUCUCUCUAGAUAUUUUUUUUAUCAUGAUGUCGUGGCUGGUUGUUGUACGGCACCAUACCUCAGCGCGCGCUACUUCAGGUACCUGACUAGUUGAAAGUUAAAAACACAGUCCAAGUACCGAAGUAACACGCGUUGAAGCAGGCGCCCAUAUUCUCUAGAGUCCAAUGUUAGAAAGAGAGACUGAAUAAGGCAGAGAGGAAUGAGAGAAAGGCUAAAAAAAAUAAUUAAAAAAUAAUAUUAAUAAUUUUCAACUUCAGCGUAUGAGGCGAAUUUUAGAAAAUAGAAAGUAUGUGGCCUUAUUCCAAGGUUUUGCCAAUAAAUUAGCAAAUUGGACACAAGGCCGUCACCGGCGGCAACGCACACACACUUAUAAGUGAGCGAGUGGAGAACACACUUACACAUAGCCACGUGACGUCACUACUAUCGAAAAGAAACCGGAUGAGUGAUUCGCCGGAAAUUGAACCAAGAAACAUAUAUACGUGGGUAUGUAUACAUCUGUCUCCCUCUUGUAGCCGCACUGGGUGGUGGUAAUUUGGUAUAUGCCGAAUAAUGAUUACGGGAUGGUCGCUGCGAUAUAUCUUUGGGUUCGGUUCACCGCACACCGUGACUUUUCGUUCCGAAGUAAAAUUGUAUUUUCGAGUUGCAAUUCAUUCUCUUUAUCCCUCUCCAUUCUCUCUUUCUCUCUACUUCCGUUUCAAUGCUUUGAAUGGUCUUGGCAAAGAAGAAAUGAAAAACCACUGCAGAGGAUAUGUGAGGAUGUGCGCUGCUGCCUAGUAGAUCGGAUGCCGGAUUCGUACUGACUAGAGUUCGGCGAUUGGUGUGCGCUGGCGAAUGUACGGAAUAUUUGCCACUAGGCGCUGCGUGUUCAAUCUGCGCCGAUGGUGGUGGGGAGGGGCGAUCGGGGGUGGUAGUCUGUCGGUCACCAAUGGAGGCGUGCGAAUCGUCCGAGGAUGGCCGAGAGGAACCGAGCCGACGCGGCAGGCAUGGAACGAACCCGUCUGGGUCCUUAACCUAACUUAACGGCCGCGACCGUCUGCCUCCCUCCCCUUUGAAUCGACGGCAGCACGGCACGCUCGAAAACUCUCCCCGGUCUCUCGCACAUACCACAUCCACAUAUUUAUUUAUACUUGUAUUUAUACACACAUUAUAUGUUAUAUGGAAGGAAGAAGGCCGGAGGAACAAACGAAAUCCGCGUGCUGACGUCACUGGACGCCCCCGUGUCCAGUUGCUAAGGCGAUCGCGGAGCGCCCCGCCAAGGUCGUCGGAAGGACGCGCAUUCCUCACCGGCCGCAGCCCUAUAUGGCAGUCAUACUCACCAAUUCGCCAAAACAUCUCACCAUCUCUGAUUCUUCUUGAACUGCUUGAGUUGCUGCCGCCGAUGGAUCCAGUAAACUGCAAUCGCCACGUCUCCAAACCCAACCAACGGCCGACGAGAGAAAGAUCCAUUCAUUCACUCGCUCGUUUUUUUUUUUUGGUAAUAAUUUAAAGGCGAAAAAAUAUUUGAAGCGAAUCGAAUAAAACUCUCGCUCUCCUUCCAUCUCCCUGAUAAGAUAGCAAUUUGCAUACACGCACGCACGCAAAUAUAUUGUAACUGAACGAAAAUAGAAAUAAAUAAUAAAAAUAGAAAGGAUAUGACUGUUAAUGAAUAUAUUUUUUUCCAAGAACGAGAUGGUUGUUUUCGCGGGGAAGAGGCGGAGAAGGAGAAUAUUCGCGAUGCCCACUCCAUUUUUUCGCCGGUCGUCGGACUAUUUCUGAAAUCCGGUAAUCCUUGACUGGCGCUGCCGGCCAAGGAACAAAGGAGCUUCGAAGUCGCACGUUUCGGGGGGCGGCGGCACGCAAAUUGGCUCUCCUCGAAAUAGAGAGGCGUCCUCCUCUAUUUGAAUAAUAUCAUAUAUAAAACCACACGAACAAAGAAAUCUGAUACCGACCGGACGUAUCUUCCUUUUUUUUUAAAUUCGAAGACGUUUAUACAAGAAACAAAUGAUCUCUCUUGCACCGUCUCAAUUCUUCCCGGCCGACGGUCAUUGAAUAUGUGGGACGAUGUUUGUUCUCAUCAGCAUUUUAUUGUUGUUGUUGCUUCUCGCGUGAGAAAAGAACGUUUCGCCGAAAUUGUUCUCAUGUUUAUUUAAGUUGUUUCUUUUUUAUCUUGCCAUUUUGGAGACUCGACACAUUUAUAUAAAUAUAUAGAGAGAGAAAGUGAAUUCAUUUAUCUGAGUCUGCGAUAAUACAAAAGCCGAUAUGGAAAUGUUUAGUUGGAACCGGAGAGAAAAGAAAACAUCGAUCACUGUCCCCAAUUGUGUGGAAUUUCCGUUAUACGUUACAGUAUAUACGUGGCCAAAGAUUAGGCGAAAUUGCAAUCGGAAAAGAAACAAGCCUAACUCGAAGAAACUAAUAACAUUUCGCAAUGUUGCGUAAUAAUGGGGCGCGGAUGGGUUUUCUUUUUUUGUUGUUGUGUUGUUCGGUGCGCGCUCGUGUGGGGCGGGGGUGGAGCGCCGCCGACGUCUAGACGGCGGCAUUGACGUAGGGUAGGCGCGGGGGGUUGCUUCAGGAUACGGUGGAGGGGUGGCGUUUGGUCUCGCGUUGGGAAAGGCCAGGGCCAGACGGGAAGCGAAGAGGGAUGCGCCGCCGCUACUGCCUCCUCCUCUUUAUCCGCCACCCCUCAUGCGACGUGCACUCGCCGACCGUUGUUGAACCGAAAAUCGAUAAAUUCGUUAAUAAUAGGUGCCACCCCCUGACAUCGAAUCUGCCCGUCCUUCGGCCCGUCAGCUGUUCUCUCUAGAUUGCACAAUAUUUCAAACGCUUACCUAUCUUUUUCCGCGACUUACAAGAGGACGAUGUGUAAUUUUAAUAUCCCAAGAAAUCUCGAUGCACAUUUGUGUCCAUUGGGUUGUCGAAGUUUUGGAAGUUGCUGACUUAGCAGCAGCGCACGUUGCACACGAUGAUCCCAGAUGCAUGCUGCAGAGGUGGUCCACAGACUGCUGUUGCUGUUCCUGUAGUUAUCCAUCCACCGGUUGCUGGUUGUUAAUACGAUCGCUUCGGGCAAGCAAACAGUGGUGUCUGAUGGCCUGCUGCUGUGUCGUGGACGUCGAGAAGAAGAGGAGGCCGUUCACUUCGCCUUCGACCUCCUCUAACCGCACCGACUGGUGUGAGACGUUCGGCGACGGUGCGUCGCUCUUAUCUACCACGCCCGUUCGGUUCGGUUACUAACUGGUUGCCAUCCGACUAUACGACGGGGACCGUAACCGUCGGCCGGAGGAGGGUAGGAGGGGGCGCGAAUGCACGCUCUGCGUAAUGCAUCCAUCCAUCCAUCCCACACCAUACCACCCUUUCUACGAACCCGACUUUUCAUUUCCACCCUUCAUCUACCACCGUUUCAUUCCGCUCACUCAUCCAGACUUUUUUUUUUAUUAUUUUGUAGCAAAAUUACACCAUAUUCAAUAAAUUUA
Nicrophorus vespilloides is the source of this 3836-nucleotide long non-coding RNA. RefSeq lists it as uncharacterized. The record is from RefSeq and is a predicted model, not a curated record. The transcript has 3 exons. Lineage: Eukaryota; Metazoa; Arthropoda; Insecta; Coleoptera; Silphidae.